Molecule: ribosomal RNA, 69 nt
Filed under: Nemania bipapillata
Lineage: Eukaryota; Fungi; Ascomycota; Sordariomycetes; Xylariales; Xylariaceae
Description: partial 18S ribosomal RNA
Rfam family: Eukaryotic small subunit ribosomal RNA
Source: RNAcentral
UCUUGGUCAUUUAGAGGAAGUAAAAGUCGUAACAAGGUNUCCGUUGGUGAACCAGCGGAGGGAUCAUUA